ACGCUGGCGGCGUGCCUAAUACAUGCAAGUCGAGCGGAGAUUUGAAAAGCUUGCUUUUCAAAUCUUAGCGGCGGACGGGUGAGUAACACGUGGGCAACCUGCCCUUGAGACGGGGAUAACUCCGGGAAACCGGAGCUAAUACCGGAUAACACAUAUCUUCGCAUGAUGAUAUGUUAGAAGGUGGCUUUUAGCUACCACUCAAGGAUGGGCCCGCGGCGCAUUAGCUAGUUGGUGAGGUAACGGCUCACCAAGGCGACGAUGCGUAGCCGACCUGAGAGGGUGAUCGGCCACACUGGGACUGAGACACGGCCCAGACUCCUACGGGAGGCAGCAGUAGGGAAUCUUCCGCAAUGGACGAAAGUCUGACGGAGCAACGCCGCGUGAGUGAUGAAGGUUUUCGGAUCGUAAAGCUCUGUUGUUAGGGAAGAACAAGUAUCUGUUGAAUAAGCAGGUACCUUGACGGUACCUAACCAGAAAGCCACGGCUAACUACGUGCCAGCAGCCGCGGUAAUACGUAGGUGGCAAGCGUUGUCCGGAAUUAUUGGGCGUAAAGCGCGCGCAGGCGGUUCCUUAAGUCUGAUGUGAAAGCCCACGGCUCAACCGUGGAGGGUCAUUGGAAACUGGGGAACUUGAGUGCAGAAGAGGAGAGCGGAAUUCCACGUGUAGCGGUGAAAUGCGUAGAGAUGUGGAGGAACACCAGUGGCGAAGGCGGCUCUCUGGUCUGUAACUGACGCUGAGGCGCGAAAGCGUGGGGAGCGAACAGGAUUAGAUACCCUGGUAGUCCACGCCGUAAACGAUGAGUGCUAAGUGUUAGAGGGUUUCCGCCCUUUAGUGCUGCAGCAAACGCAUUAAGCACUCCGCCUGGGGAGUACGGUCGCAAGACUGAAACUCAAAGGAAUUGACGGGGACCCGCACAAGCGGUGGAGCAUGUGGUUUAAUUCGAAGCAACGCGAAGAACCUUACCAGGUCUUGACAUCCUCUGCUACUUCUAGAGAUAGAAGGUUCCCUUCGGGGACAGAGUGACAGGUGGUGCAUGGUUGUCGUCAGCUCGUGUCGUGAGAUGUUGGGUUAAGUCCCGCAACGAGCGCAACCCUUGAUCUUAGUUGCCAGCAUUCAGUUGGGCACUCUAAGGUGACUGCCGGUGACAAACCGGAGGAAGGUGGGGGGAUGACGUCAAAUCAUCAUGCCCCUUAUGACCUGGGCUACACACGUGCUACAAUGGAUGGUACAAAGGGCUGCAAAACCGCGAGGUUAAGCCAAUCCCAUAAAACCAUUCUCAGUUCGGAUUGUAGGCUGCAACUCGCCU
This 1306-nucleotide ribosomal RNA is filed under the name Bacillus sp. PGBS007. RNAcentral's name for it is "bacterial SSU rRNA". It matches the Rfam family "Bacterial small subunit ribosomal RNA", at positions 33 to 1317 of the family's 1533-position model. The record is from RNAcentral. Lineage: Bacteria; Bacillati; Bacillota; Bacilli; Caryophanales; Bacillaceae.